RNAcentral lists this unclassified non-coding RNA (334 nucleotides) under soil metagenome. RNAcentral describes it as "partial contains 5.8S ribosomal RNA, internal transcribed spacer 2, and large subunit ribosomal RNA". The stretch from base 1 to 120 matches the Rfam family "5.8S ribosomal RNA", at positions 35 to 154 of the family's 154-position model. The record is from RNAcentral.
GAUGAAGAACGCAGCGAAAUGCGAUAAGUAAUGUGAACUGCAGAAUUCAGUGAAUCAUCGAAUCUUUGAACGCACAUUGCGCCCGCCAGUAUUCUGGCGGGCAUGCCUGUUCGAGCGUCAUUUCAACCAUCAAGCCCCAGGCUUGUGUUGGAGCCCUGCGGCUGCCGCAGCCUCCCAAAACCAGUGGCGGGCUCGCUAUCACACCGAGUGCAGUAGUUUACUCUUCGCUCAGGGCGUGUGGCGGGUGCUAGCCGUGAAACCCCCAACUUCUCAAGGUUGACCUCGGAUCAGGUAGGAAUACCCGCUGAACUUAAGCAUAUCAAUAAGCGGAGGA